Molecule: long non-coding RNA, 323 nt
Organism: Pseudomyrmex gracilis
Lineage: Eukaryota; Metazoa; Arthropoda; Insecta; Hymenoptera; Formicidae
Exons: 3
Source: RefSeq, a predicted model, not a curated record
AGAUGUUUGUGCCGAGAUAUUUGUGUCGUUACUGUGUGUCGGAUGUACGAGAGAUUUUAACGACAAUUAUUUAAUUUAUCAAUUUGAUAAUACGAUGCAAGGACAAAUUGACUAUCAACAAUUUGUUUUGCUGUCUUGAUGUCUCUUGUUUUCGACGUUCAGUGACGUAUAUUAACUUAUUUGUAAAGCGUGGCUGAGGAUGACCGUAAUCGACGGUCGAAACGUUCCACAAGAAAUCACUUCAUUCCACACUAAGUUUAUUUAUUAUACUGCCACCAUCUGCAGUCCAAAGACAGGAAGGUCUAUUUUCUAUCUACAUUUUA